AAUGAAUCCAAGGGAGUCAGUGAGAAGUUGUCUGAAGAAGGAGGCUCUGUCCUUAGUCAGCAAGCUCCAAAAAACACUUUCCUUCCUUUUCCACCACGGUGGCCUAAAAUGGAUGGUUACUGUGUAGAUUAAUAUAGAAAGUAUAUGUCAGCGAAGUAUUCAGAGUUAGCUGUUAGCUCUUUCCCUGGCCAUUUUCUUAGCUAUUUUAAGUGGACAUUUAUACAACAAACAGAUCCGGAUUUGGCUCCUCAUGUUGAAGAAAUUAAAUUUACUACCCGCUCAUCCCCCGGUGCUCUCAGGCCUUGGACAACUUCCUCAUCACGGGACAGGGGACCCCAGGCUUCUUUCCAAGCCCUACCGCCUCCCCGCAUCUUGAGCCUCCUAGACUGGGCCGACACCACCCAUGCUCCUGGUUCUCCGGCCUCUGUGCUCAAACUGGAACCAGGUGGCCAGCUUCCCUGAGUCUCAGCUGUGGACAUCAGGAGGGGAUCUUCCAGAACCAGGGAUUGAACCCACAUCUUCUGCAUCGGCAGACGGAUUCCAUACUGCUGAGUCACCGGGAACCUCUGUGCCCAAAGACCAACAUCCUGAUUUUUUUGCUCCAGGAUGUGGGCAAGGGUGCGUCCAGCCUUGAGACUUACCUCGUUGCUGAGACUUGACACAGGCUGACAUUUCCUACUCCAGCCACUUGCCAUGUUUCCUACUCGUCCGAUUCCAAGUUCCGCAUGCUGGCCUCACACUUGGUGGAAGUGCAGUGUUUACACAGAGCUUGUCUGUACCUUCGUGCCCUCCUGACAACCUGGUCAGACGUCCAACCUCAUGUUCCCACAUCUCCCCAUCUUCCAGGGAACGAAAAAAAAGC
Long non-coding RNA from Bos taurus (domestic cattle), 862 nucleotides. The record is from Ensembl. NCBI's taxonomy places the organism in Eukaryota, Metazoa, Chordata, Mammalia, Artiodactyla, Bovidae.